GACGAACGCUGGCGGCGUGCUUAACACAUGCAAGUCGAACGAAGAGCGAUGGAAGCUUGCUUCUAUCAAUCUUAGUGGCGAACGGGUGAGUAACGCGUAAUCAACCUGCCCUUCAGAGGGGGACAACAGUUGGAAACGACUGCUAAUACCGCAUACGAUCUAACCUCGGCAUCGAGGAUAGAUGAAAGGUGGCCUCUACAUGUAAGCUAUCACUGAAGGAGGGGAUUGCGUCUGAUUAGCUAGUUGAGGGUACGCCACAAGCGAUGAUCAGUAGCCGGUCUGAGAGGAUGAACGGCCACAUUGGGACUGAGACACGGCCCAGACUCACGGGAGCAGCAGUGGGGAAUCUUCCGCAAUGGACGAAAGUCUGACGGAGCAACGCCGCGUGAGUGAUGACGGCCUUGGGUUGUAAAGCUCUGUUAAUCGGGACGAAAGGCCUUCUUGCAUAG
Molecule: ribosomal RNA, 449 nt
Filed under: uncultured bacterium
Lineage: Bacteria
Description: bacterial SSU rRNA
Rfam family: Bacterial small subunit ribosomal RNA
Source: RNAcentral